This 330-nucleotide ribosomal RNA is filed under the name uncultured bacterium. RNAcentral's name for it is "bacterial SSU rRNA". It matches the Rfam family "Bacterial small subunit ribosomal RNA", at positions 568 to 898 of the family's 1533-position model. The record is from RNAcentral.
CGUGUAGGCGGCUCAUCAAGUCUGGUGUGAAAUCGCAAGGCUUAACCUUGCAUAUGCGCUGGAAACUGGUGGGCUUGAGUUCUUGAGGGGAAGCUGGAAUUCCAGGUGUAGGGGUGAAAUCUGUAGAUAUCUGGAAGAACACCGGUGGCGAAGGCGAGCUUCUAUCAGAGGACUGACGCUGAGGCGCGAAAGCGUGGGGAGCAAACAGGAUUAGAUACCCUGGUAGUCCACGCUGUAAACGAUGUGCACUAGGCGUGGGGCACGUACGUGCUCUGUGCCGUAGUUAACGUGAUAAGUGCACCGCCUGGGGAGUAUGCUCGCAAGGGUGAA